RNAcentral lists this ribosomal RNA (473 nucleotides) under uncultured bacterium. RNAcentral's name for it is "bacterial SSU rRNA". It matches the Rfam family "Bacterial small subunit ribosomal RNA", at positions 355 to 825 of the family's 1533-position model. The record is from RNAcentral.
UGGGGAAUUGUUCGCAAUGGGGGAAACCCUGACGAAGCAACGCCGCGUGGGGGAUGAAGGUCUUCGGAUCGUAAACCCCUGUCGAUCGGGACGAAAGCACCCAACCUAACACGUCGGAGUGUUGACUGUACCGGUGGAGGAAGCCACGGCUAACUCUGUGCCAGCAGCCGCGGUAAUACAGAGGUGGCAAGCGUUGUUCGGAAUUACUGGGCGUAAAGGGCGCGUAGGCGGUCUUGUAAGUCCCGUGUGAAAGCCCCCGGCUCAACCGGGGGAAUGGCACGGGAAACUGCGAGGCUUGAGUUCGGGAGAGGGAAGCGGAAUUCCGGGUGUAGCGGUGAAAUGCGUAGAUAUCCGGAGGAACACCAGUGGCGAAGGCGGCUUCCUGGACCGAUACUGACGCUGAGGCGCGAAAGCUAGGGGAGCAAACGGGAUUAGAUACCCACGUAGUCCCUGAGCGGGCUGGCAAGGCGCAU